GGGCCAGCCCGAGGCUGGUUAAUUGUGAGGCAGCAUUGCGAUGUGCUCCUGGGAUACUCGACAGAUGUUUUUUGGAGCUGGCACCAGACUCUUCGUGGAGCCACGAAGCCAGCCUCCUGCCAAACCAUUCGUUUUCACCAUGAAAAAUGGCUCCACUGUUGCUUGUCUGGUGAAAGAUUUCUACCCUAAGGAAAUAGACAUAAAGCUUGAAGCACCCAAGACUAUAGUAGAAUUUGACCCUGCUAUCGUCGUCUCUCCCAGUGGGAAGUACAGCGCUGUCAAGCUGGGUCGGUAUGAGGAUUCCAAUUCAGUGACCUGUUCAGUUGAACACAACAAUGAAACCGUGCGCUCCACUGACUUUGAACCAAAGAAAAGUCCUUCAGAUAACGUAAAACCAACAGAACCUGGAAGCAUGGAGCAAACUUCAGAGAACCUCUAUGGGCACGAAGUUCACCGGAGCUCACAGUUCACAGCCGGGAAGGUGAACAUGCUGUCCCUCACAGUGCUGGGGCUCCGAAUGGUGUUUGCCAAGAGUCUUGCCAUCAAUUUUCUCUUGACUGCCAAGUUAUUUUUCUUUUAAGGCUGACCGGCAUGAGAAGACUCCAUUAUGAGACUCUCACGUUACGUCUUCAUAAAAGCCUACAGGGUUGCUGUCUCCUAAGCUUCUGACUUCUUGGUGAUUCAAGUCGACCUCCUGCAGCCUUGUAUAAAUGGCUGCUACCAAACCAGGUUUCCUUCAGAGACACAAACCCAGCUCAUUUCCCAGCUGAGUGGAAAGACAAAAGUCCUGGGGAGUUAGGGAGGUUAUUAUUCUCCUAACAGCUCUAUAUGCUGCUUUCUAAAGAGAUAUAGGACUCAUUUUCUUUUUUAUUUUCUACAACUAAUAUGCUUGGGGAAAGGUGUUUUGUUCCUUUGACUUUCUUUGCCUUAGGAAGUAGAGAGUGGGAGCCAAGGCUUCCCAGCUCUAUGGUCUCUGAGGAAAAUAGACCUUGGGGGUCGGAGAGCAGAUGGCUCUGCCCAGCCCAGCACUAGAUUUGCCCCAAGCUGGCAUUUCCAGCCACAAAAGCCCUUUCUGCUUUUCCCAGUACUUUACAAACAAAAUCACAUUUGAAUUCCCAUGCAGCUGGUGGGGUUUCUAAAACCUCAUCCAAAUGCUCUCUGAGCUAUUAGCAAAGAUCAGAGUAAAAUACAGAGAAAAUGCACUUAUUUCUAUUAACUGAUUUAACAAACGUGAAUUAACUCUCUCUAUUUUCCGGGCACUGUGCCGAGGGUACAAAGAUAAGUAAGAUGUGGGCCUGCUUUCAAGCAGCGAAUUGUGCAAGUGUUUCUGGAGGGAGGGAAGAGGAAUGAGACCCCUCAAUUUCGGCUGUAAAAAGAUUAUCUUUCGAGGGGUUUGCCUGCCAGUCUGUGCACAGGGAAUGUGAGGUCAGGGGACGAUGAUUCUUGCCUGCCCCGUGUUGUUGAUGGUUUUCUGCCAUUCGGUGUUGUUCUCUGUUGCAUUUAUUAAAGUGCAUUGAGUGUG
Molecule: non-coding RNA, 1522 nt
Organism: Mustela lutreola (European mink)
Lineage: Eukaryota; Metazoa; Chordata; Mammalia; Carnivora; Mustelidae
Source: the annotation of a RefSeq genome assembly